RNAcentral lists this long non-coding RNA (3001 nucleotides) under Ananas comosus (pineapple). RNAcentral's name for it is "long non-coding RNA (ACOM_LNC036841)". Lineage: Eukaryota; Viridiplantae; Streptophyta; Magnoliopsida; Poales; Bromeliaceae. The record is from RNAcentral.
UAAUAAAACGAUAUAAUUAGGUUUUACUUUUUGUUCGAUAGAAUGAGAAAAAGUACUCGUUGCAAAGUUAUACUGUUAGGGCGCAACUGAGUAGUCUAAUGUUGUUCUGGUUUUCGUUCUUGUGAACGUUGACAUCGAUUUGUUCAAAAUUUACACUCUCGGGGCAUAAUAGAACUAUAUAAUUAGGUUUUACUCUUUGUUCGAUAGAUUGAGAAAAAGUACUCGUUGCAAAGUUAUACUGUUAGGGCGCAACUGAGUAGUCUAAUGUUGUUCCGAUUUUGGUUCUUGUGAACGUCGAAGAUUCGUUCCAAAUUUACACUCGCGGGGCAUAAUAGAACUAUAUAAUUAGGUUUUACUUUUUGUUCGAUAGAAUGAGAAAAAGUACUCGUCGCAAGUUAUACUGUUAGGGCACAACAGAGUAGUCUAAUGUAGUUCUGGUUUUCGUUCUUGUGAACGUUUACAUCGAUUCGUUCCAAAUUUACACUUUCGGGGCAUAAUAGAACAAUAUAAUUAGGUUUUACUCUUUGUUCGAUAGAAUGAGAAAAAGUACUCAUUGCAAAGUUAUACUGUUAGGGCGCUACUGAGUAGUCUAAUUUUGUUCCUGUUUUUGUUCUUGUGAACGUUGACAUCGAUUCGUUCCAAAUUUACACUGUCGGGUAAUAAUAGAACAAUAUAAUUAGGUUUUACUCUUCGUUCGAUAGAAUAAGAAAAAGUACUCGUUGCAAAAUUAUACUGUUAGGGCGCAACAGAGUAGACUAAUGUUGUUCCGAUUUUGGUUCUUUUAAACAUUGACAUUGAUUCGUUCCAAAUUUACACUCUCGGGGUAUAAUAGAAUGAUAUAAUUAGGUUUUACUCUUUGUUCGAUAGAAUGAGAAAAAGUACUCGUUGCAAAGUUAUACUGUUAGGGUGCAACUGAGUAGUCUAAUUUUUUUCCUGUUUUUGUUCUUGUGAACGUUGACAUCGAUUCGUUUAAAAUUUACACUCUUGGGGCAUAAUAAAAUAAUAUAAUUAGGUUUUACUCUUUGUUCGUUUGAAUGAGAAAAAGUACUCGUUGCAAAGUUAUACUAUUAGGGCGCAACUGAGUAGUCUAAUGUUGUUCCGAUUUCGGUUCUUGUGAACGUAGACAUCGAUUCGUUCCAAAUUUACACACUCGGGGCAUAAUAGAACAAUAUAAUUAGGUUUUACUCAUUGUUCGAUAGAAUGAGAAAAGGUACUCGUUGCAAAUUUAUACUGUUAGAGCGCAACUUAGUAGUCUAAUGUUGUUUCGGUUUUGGUUCUUGUGAACGUUUACAUCGAUUCGUUCGAAAUUUACGCUCUCGGAGCAUAAUAGAGCAAUAUAAUUAGAUUUUACUCUUUGUUCGAUAGAAUGAGAAAAAGUACUCGUUGCAAAGUUAUACUGUUUGGGCACAACUGAGUAUUCUAAUGUUGUUCCGGUUUUAGUUCUUGUGAACAUUGACAUCGAUUCGUUCCAAAUUUACACUCUCAGGGCAUAAUAGAACAAUAUAAUUAGGUUUUACUCUUUGUUCGAUAGAAUGAGAAAAAGUACUCAUUGCAAAGUUAUACUGUUAGGGCGCAACUGACUAGUCUAAUGUUGUACCGGUUUUGGUUCUUGUGAACGUUGACAUCGAUUCGUUUCAAAUUUACACUCUCGAGGCAUAAUAGAGCAAUAUAAUUAGGUUUAAUUUUUGUUCGAUAGAAUGAGAAAAAGUACUCGUUGCAAAGUUAUACUGUUAGGGCGCAACUGAGUAGUCAAAUUUUGUUCCGAUUUUGGUUCUUGUGAACGUUGAAGAUUCGUUCCAAAUUUACACUCGCGGGGCUUAAUAGAACUAUAUAAUUAGGGUUUUACUCUUUUGUCGAUUGAAUGAGGAAAAAGUACUCUUCUUAAGGGUAUACUGAUAGGGGCACAACAGACUAGUCUAAUGUUGUACUGUGUUUGGUUCUUGUGAAACGUUAACAUCGAUUCGUUUCCAAAUUUACACUCUCCGGUACAUUAAUAGAACUAUAUAAUUAGCUUUAAUUUUUGUUCGAUAGAAUUGAGGAAAAGUACUCGUUGCAAAGUUAUACUGUUAGGGCGCAACUGAGUAGUCAAAUUUUGUUCCGAUUUUGGUUCUUGUGAACGUUGAAGAUUCGUUCCAAAUUUACACUCGCGGGGCUUAAUAGAACUAUAUAAUUAGGUUUUACUUUUUGUUCGAUUGAAUGAGAAAAAGUACUCGUCGCAAGUUAUACUGAUAGGGCACAACAGAGUAGUCUAAUGUUGUUCUGUUUUCGUUCUUGUGAACGUUAACAUCGAUUCGUUCCAAAUUUACACUCUCGGUGCAUAAUAGAACUAUAUAAUUAGCUUUUACUCUUUGUUCGAUAGAAUGAGAAAAGUACUCGUUUCAAAGUUAUACUGUUUGGGCGCAACUGAGUAGUCUAAUUUUGUUCCGGUUUUGGUUCUUGUGAACGUUGACAUUGAUUCGUUCCAAAUUUACACUCUCGGCGCAUAAUAGAACUAUAUAAUUAGGUUUUACUCUUUAUUCGAUAGAAUGAGAAAAAGUACUCGUUGCAAAGUUAUACUGUUAGGGCGCAACAGAGUAGUCUAAUGUUGUUCCGGCUUUCGUUCUUGUGAACAUUGACAUCGAUUCGUUCCAAAUUUACACCCUCGGGGCAUAAUAGAACUAUAUAAUUAGGUUUUACUCUUUGUUCGAUAGAAUGAGAAAAAGUACUCGUUGCAAUGUUAUAAUGUUUGGGCGCAACUGAGUAUUCUAAUGUUGUUCCGGUUUUGGUUCUUGUGAACAUUGACAUUGAUUCGUUCCAAAUUUACACUCUCGAGGCAUAAUAGAACGAUAUAAUUAGGUUUUACUCUUUAUUCGAUAGAAUGAGAAAAAAUACUCGUUGCAAAAUUAUACUGUUUGGGCGCAACUGAGUAGUCUAAUGUUCUUCCGGUUUUUUUUCUUGUGAACGUUGACGUCGAUUUGUUCGAAAUUUACACUCUCGGGGCAUAAUAGAACAAUAUAAUUAG